This 501-nucleotide ribosomal RNA is filed under the name uncultured bacterium. RNAcentral describes it as "partial 16S ribosomal RNA". It matches the Rfam family "Bacterial small subunit ribosomal RNA", at positions 30 to 523 of the family's 1533-position model. The record is from RNAcentral.
AUUGAACGCUGGCGGCAGGCUUAACACAUGCAAGUCGAGCGGGGUGAAGAGCUUCGGUACUGAUCCUAACGGCGGACGGGUGAGUAAUGCUUAGGAAACUGCCAUUUAGUGGGGGACAACAUUCCGAAAGGAAUGCUAAUACCGCAUACGUCCUACGGGAGAAAGCAGGGGAUUGUCGGCCCUUGCGUUAAUCGAUAAGCCUAAGUCGGAUUAGCUAGUUGGUGGGGUAAAGGCCUACCAAGGCGACGAUCUGUAGCGGGUCUGAGAGGAUGAUCCGCCACACUGGGACUGAGACACGGCCCAGACUCCUACGGGAGGCAGCAGUGGGGAAUAUUGGACAAUGGGCGGAAGCCUGAUCCAGCCAUGCCGCGUGUGUGAAGAAGGCCUUUUGGUUGUAAAGCACUUUAAGCGAGGAGGAGGCUACCUGGAUUAAUACUCUGGGAUAGUGGACGUUACUCGCAGAAUAAGCACCGGCUAACUCUGUGCCAGCCGCCGCAGUAA